This 4375-nucleotide long non-coding RNA is filed under the name Chinchilla lanigera (long-tailed chinchilla). RNAcentral's name for it is "lncRNA (ENSCLAG00000025909.1)". The record is from RNAcentral. Lineage: Eukaryota; Metazoa; Chordata; Mammalia; Rodentia; Chinchillidae.
AUGGGUGCGGGGCCCGACGGCGCCCGGGAGCCGGGGGCUGCGCCGCGGAGUGCGAUGGAGUCUCCGGGGAUGAGGCCUGACUUGGUGACCUCCGCAAUCAAGAGGCGUGUGAAAGACAAGAGAGCUUCGAAGACUACCUUGAAUGUUUCUCUUGCUUCAAAAAUCAAAACAAAAAUAAUAAACAAUUCUUCUAUUUUCAAAAUUUCCCUAAAGCAUAACAACAGAGCAUUAGCUCAGGCUCUCAGUAGAGAGAAAGAGAACUCUCGAAGAAUUGCAACUGAAAAGAUGCUAUUGCAAAAAGAAGUGGAGAAACUCAAUUUCAAGAAUACCUUUCUCCAACUAAAGCUGGAUAACUUGAAUAAGAAGCUUAUAGAAAUAGAAUCACUCCUGAGCAAUAACUUGAUAACUGCUAUUGAGAUGAGCAAUCUUUCUGAGUUCCAUCAGAGCUCCUUUCUGCCGUCCACUGGCAAGAAGAAACGACCCAGCAGACAGUGCGAGCUGACACGUCUUCCAUUCGCAAGGGUUCCAUUACCUUCAAAUGAUGAUGAUGAUGAUGAUGACAAAGAGAAAACACCGAGGGACAGCAGUGUUGCGCCGAGGGUGUCACCUGACGCUCCGUCUUCAGGAUCUGUAAGGCAGUCUGCACCAACUCAGCGUACUGUGGACACGUUAUUUCUUAAAGAAAACAGUUGGAACAUGCAAGGUCCGGAGGAUGCAGAGCAUGUUUCUUCUAGUGUCACUGUACCUUCCAAAGAGAGCCAUUCCCACUUAGACCGAAGUUCCCAGCAUGCUGUAGUGGAUGAGAUGACCAGUGACCUGUGCAGCAGCCAUGGGAGGGAGAAGCUGUCCCUGAGUAACGUGACAGCGAGGAAGAAGCGCGGGUCGUGCUGGGCCUCGGGCAGCCCUCCUGCAGGUGUGCCCUGCAGGGCAGGCUCGGGGCAGCAGCGGAGUUUGAGUCCAGCCUUGGGCUGGGGAAUGGAGACGAAGGACUGUGCUAAUGGGAAAAGCAUCACAGUGCCCGGAAACCCGCCAGGCCUUGCUGGCCCGCAGGACCCUCCUGCACCUUGCGAGAAGCCUCGCACAGACAGCGCAGGGCACGUGCAGGGUGGUGGGGACCCCCAGGGACAGGCGACCGUGUACGGAGCUGACAUGGAGCUCACAGCCACCGAUGCCAACACAAUCAUCACCGUUUCCCGGGGCAGCAGGCGUACGAGCAAUAAGAAGAUGAGUGAUUCUGAAGGCCAGGCGCUCAGGAAGGUGAGAGACCGGAGCUCUGAGACAAAGAGAGAGAGGCCAAAGAAAAGAUGUAAAAUGAGCGCAGGCGUGGACGCCGAGGGGCAGGCUGAAAGUGGACCGGAGGGAAGCUGUGCGCUCACAGGUGGCAGGGGGGACUCGGGAGACGCCGAUUCUGUUCCCAGUGCUGCACAGCUGCCUCCAGCAAAGCCACUGAGGAAAACGACCCUUCCUCGGGGCUCUGGCCCAGCGGACGGGCACGGUGCCCAGUGCAGCAGAGAGGAGGAAGGCGAGUCUGUGGGCGGCGAGCAGGGGCUGGCGUCCUCUUCCUCCCCCCGUGCAGGCGGGGCCACCCGAGCAGGAGGCGUGCACCAGCCCCAGAACGGGAUCCCACGAAGUAAAAGUAAAGCUUCCAGGCAGACAUUUGUGAUUCGCAAGUUAGGAAAAGAUUGCUUAUUCCCAAACCAAGAGGGUAUAGAAACCGUUCCUGGAAACCUCGAAGUUGCACAUGAAUUUCAGACAGCUGAUCUUUCCUCCAAAGAAAAUGAAAACUUACGUGCCUGUGAGACCCAGAACAUGGUGACGAUGAAAACGUGUGUCACUGAUAGGCAGCCUGCCCAGCAGGGUCCAUCAAAAGUCAGCAAGCUUAAGCAGAAAGUAAACAGAAAGACAGAAAUAAUUUCUCAGGUAAACCAGAGGUAUGAGGACAAUGGUCAGGAUGUGCAUGCCUCCCAACAGAGGAGCAUCUUCUUCCAACCCCAAGUGGGUAAAGAGACUGUCUCUGGAAACCUAGGCGUUUCAGAAGACUUUCAGAUACUCAGUCCGUUCAUGAGAGAUCAUGGAAACCUAUGUGAUCAUGAGACCCAGAACUUCCUGGAUUUGCACAAUCCAGUCACCCCCAUGUACCCUGUUCAGCAAAAUGAGUCCAGAAUUAAUAAGAAGCUUAGGCAGAAAGUAAAUCGGAAGACACAGAUAAUUUCUGAAGUGAAUCAUUUUGAUGACAAAAGCUGGUGUUGCUCAGAAAAAGGGAACUCUACCUUUCCCCAGAAAGGGAGAGAAACCAUCCCUGGGGACCCGAAAGACUUGAAUGAAUUUCAGCCCCCUGCUCUUCCCACCUGGGACAGUGGGCAGCUGUGUGCUUACGAAACUCAGAACAUUUCAGCAGUGAAAAAGCAGAUCCGUGGUGUGCAGACAGCGUGUCAGAAUGAUUCCGAAGCAAGGAAGCUUAGAGGAAAGGGUCAUCAAAGUGCAGAAAUAAUCUCUGAGCCCACCCGCAGCUGUGUGAGCAGGGGCCAAGGCCUGCAGGCGCUAGAACAGGAUAACUUUGCUUCUCUCACCCAGAAAGAUGCCGAAAUCAUUUCUGAGAACUCAGAAGUCACACGUGAAUUUCAAACAGUUGAUCUUCCCACCAAAGAUCAUGGAAGUUUAUGUGACUACGAGACCCAGAAAAGCUGUGUCACCAGUGUGCAACUUCCUCAGCAAAAAGAAUCAAAAACAAGUAAGAAGCCUAGGCAGAAAGUAAAUCGGAAGACAGAGAUAAUUUCUGACAUGAUCCAGGUGUGUGAGGGUAUCGAUAAUGAUGUACAUGGCCAGAAAAGCUACUCAGAAGAUCUCGAUUUUAAAGUCAGUAAAUCGGAGCCAAGACUCGACCCACAAGGCCUUGUCGGCGAAUCCUGUGUGGAGAUCCACCAUGAUGUGGUUCCACAUCCGUCUAAACUGGUUAAGAAGCACAGGAGGAAGUCAUCAGGCAAGGCAAGGAGCACUUUGAGAAGAGCUCAGAGCACGCUGCCUUUGCCAUCGGCCGGUUCUUCACAGACCCCCGCCACCUCGGAGGCCAGCGGGCCGCACCGCAGCAGUGGGCCCCAGUGUACCGCUCAGGGCCCGGCUGCACAGCCUGAGCCUCAGAGGCCGCGCCCCGUAACUCCAGACACAAAAGGCGACGUUCCCUGGGUGGAAGCGAGGAAAGCCGGGCAGUGCCAGGCCACAGAGGUGACCAGGGCGACACCCAGAGCCAAGCGGGGGAAGACCUCCACAGCGCGUCCUCCGCGCUCCAAGGGAGCCUUGGCCCUCACGCCCCUCGCUGCUCACAGGAGGCCUGCUGGCGGUGAGCACGCGGACCAGGAAAACGGGGGCGGGAGCGACAGGAGUGUCGGCGCCCAGCUGGACUGUUACACGAAAGUGCUUCCGCCGUUUUCUCAGAUACACCCGCCUCCUGUGCAGCGCUCCUCUGAUGGUGUCUCUGAGGGUUCAGCGCCUGAGAGUGUUUCUUCUAGUAAAAUCCUGGUCAUCAAAGACCACUCUGCCCCUGAGCUCUCGCCCAACCGUCAGGGCCGAGGUGACGGGCACGAGAAGACAAAGGAGGUGCGAGCCAGUGUGGGCCGGAGAGCCCAGAAGCCCGAGGCAGGUAACAGAACAUUACAGGACUUGACAAACACCAGCUUCUUUCCAAGGAACACCGCGAAGUCUGCGUGCCAGUCAGGAGAGGGGCCUUCCCCGCCACCGAGCAAGAAACGGAGGUGCACGCCGCUCAGCCUGAAGGAGCCCAGUCUCAAAAGGAAGAUGCGGAGAUGAAGCGAAGGCGGGUUCUGGUUUUCGUGGGUGCUCACGAACAAGAAGUCAGCACAGAAACACGCCCAGCACCGCGGAGAGGGAGCCCUGAGGGAAGGCUCUCUUUUCUCCUCUUCUUUGGCCUUUUCUUGGGGGGUUGAUUUGGUCACUCUUUUUGUUAUUUGUUCAUUCUUAUAUUUAGAUAUAUGUACAUAAAAUAGCUAUUUUUGCAAUAUGAAACUUAUAAUUUCGUUCCUAUAACUUCCUUCUUGCUCAUUUAAGCUCCUUCCUAGGUCACAUCCUUUCACCAAACAAGAGCUGUUCCCCUUUUAACCACAUGUUGUAAUAAAUACUGCUGCACUGGUUAUGUUGUACGCUGCUUGUGCUGUCUUGGGUUGUUUUACUUUUGACUCGCUGGCUGCACGUGAGCGUCGGACCCCUGUGGGGACCUCGUCUCCUCCCCCUCCAGUGGCCAUCAGCUGCUCUGUCUCUCAGACCCCGGCCCCAGGGAGGGGCGUCGGGGGCGGAGAAUUUGGUGCUUAUACCUAACUUCCAGCAAUAAAUAGUGAAUCAGCUGGACUUUACCGCUUUCCAC